Molecule: small RNA, 56 nt
Filed under: Arabidopsis thaliana (thale cress)
Lineage: Eukaryota; Viridiplantae; Streptophyta; Magnoliopsida; Brassicales; Brassicaceae
Description: ATSL149380
Source: RNAcentral
GUCUACGAAAGUGUAAGUUAUUGGUGAGGUUAUAAGAGUUUGAUGUGCUUAUGAAA